This 262-nucleotide long non-coding RNA is filed under the name Fukomys damarensis (Damara mole-rat). RNAcentral describes it as "lncRNA (ENSFDAG00000032873.1)". Lineage: Eukaryota; Metazoa; Chordata; Mammalia; Rodentia; Bathyergidae. The record is from RNAcentral.
GGGCCGGCUCAGAGGUCUGUGCUUUUUCUUACCUCUCUCUGGGAGGAAGCCAUAGGAUAAAAGUGUGUGUGUGGAGGGGUUGGCCCUGGGGUGUUGUUCAGGUUCAGUUCUUUGAUCAGGACAGAAAGAAACUAGAAACCACCUCUAGAAGGAGACUGCAGCACCCUAAAACCUGGAAAGGUGGGGAGGAGGAAAGCUACGGCAGCCGGGAGCAGAGGCAAGGAAAGAGCCAGAGAGAGAAAUACACCCUUCAAAGUCGUGC